UUGAUUUCAGGUGUCAAUCAAUAAAUCGUGCCUGUCCCUCAAGUUGCCAAGGAAAAGUUUUUCUUUCCAACACAAGAUAUGAUCGAAAAAUGAAAAGCUCUCUUUCAAUGAAAAAUGAAACAUCAUGCAACUACUUGCAAAGGGUAGCUUCCACUUGAGCUUCAUAGACUGGAGAAGGGGGAACACAUUAAAAUGAAUUAGUCCACAGAGGUACACGAGCAACCACACCAGAUGAAAAUCUAAAUCUAUCGACAAAAAGUUGAAAUCCCAAAGAGACAACAUUUAUUAUGCUAUACUGCUCACUGCACAAAAAAGUAUUUUAUGAACAGUCAGUUUAUAGAGGAGCAAUACAAUUUUCAGGUCAAUUAAGCCACCAGCACUGCUUCUAAUUAUCUUGCUUCAGUCACCCACUUUUAUCAUUCCAAGCCCUGCAAAAUAAGCAUAGGUCAACAAGCACUUUAUACUGCAGUUUAAUUCCUUAAGAAAAUAUCCACUUUGCACUGAUACAAGUAUAACAUCUCUAAACUGUGAGAGCUAAAGCCAAAACCAAAGAAAGAUCCUUGACAUAAAAAGGGUAUAGCUGGGUAGCCUCAAAGAUACAUAAGGGAUUAUUUUUAAAUCCAUACUUUAUCACAACAGAGAAAUAGUUUUUUAAAAUUAGAAUUGUUUGAUUAAAAUGGAGUCUAUGGAUAUGGCCUUCCUGUUACUAAGAGCUUUCUGGAUAAUGGGUUUCUGGAUAACAGAUCCCACACCUGCAUAUCAUAAAUGCCCAAGCGCAAAGCAAAAUAAAGGCCACAAGCUUUAAAUCUUUGAAUUUGGCAAAACAUAGAAUAACCGAUUCCUACAAUUUAUGUGUAUGAUGUAUUUAUUUAAAACAUUGGGCUCAGACUGAGAAUUUGUUUUAAAUGAUUUUUAAAAGAUUUUUCUA
Molecule: long non-coding RNA, 928 nt
Organism: Xenopus tropicalis (tropical clawed frog)
Lineage: Eukaryota; Metazoa; Chordata; Amphibia; Anura; Pipidae
Exons: 3
Source: RefSeq, a predicted model, not a curated record